Molecule: ribosomal RNA, 460 nt
Filed under: uncultured bacterium
Lineage: Bacteria
Description: partial 16S ribosomal RNA
Rfam family: Bacterial small subunit ribosomal RNA
Source: RNAcentral
CCUACGGGAGGCAGCAGUGAGGAAUAUUGGUCAAUGGACGAGAGUCUGAACCAGCCAAGUAGCGUGAAGGAUGACUGCCCUAUGGGUUGUAAACUUCUUUUAUAUGGGAAUAAAAUGUUCCACGUGUGGGAUUUUGUAUGUAACAUAUGAAUAAGGAUCGGCUAACUCCGUGCCAGCAGCCGCGGUAAUACGGAGGAUUCGAGCGUUAUCCGGAUUUAUUGGGUUUAAAGGGAGCGUAGGUGGAAUGUUAAGUCAGUUGUGAAAGUUUGCGGCUCAACCGUAGCAUUGCAGUUGAAACUGACAGUCUUGAGUACAGUAGAGGUAGGCGGAAUUCGUGGUGUAGCGGUGAAAUGCUUAGAUAUCACGAAGAACUCCGAUUGCGAAGGCAGUUCACUGGACUGCAACUGACACUGAGGCUCGAAAGUGUGGGUAUCAAACAGGAUUAGAUACCCUUGUAGUC